CAGGGCCUAACACAUGCAAGUCGAGCGAGAAAGGGGAAACCCAGAGUAAAGCGGCGCACGGGUGAGUAACACGUAGGUAAUUUACCCCUUGGUGGUGGAUAACCUUCCGAAAGGAGGGCUAAUACAGCAUAAGACCACGUCUUCGCAAGGAGAUGAGGUCAAAGCCGGCCUCUUCAUGAAAGCUGGCGCCGAGGGAUGAGCCUGCGGCCCAUCACGGUAGUUGGUAGGGUAAUGGCCUACCAAGCCUAAGACGGGUAGCUGGUCUGAGAGGAUGAUCAGCCACACUGGGACUGAGACACGGCCCAGACUCCUACGGGAGGCAGCAGUGGGGAAUAUUGGACAAUGGGCGAAAGCCUGAUCCAGCAAUGCCGCGUGAGUGAUGAAGGCCUUAGGGUUGUAAAGCUCUUUUACCCGGGAUGAUAAUGACAGUACCGGGAGAAUAAGCUCCGGCUAACUCCGUGCCAGCAGCCGCGGUAAU
Molecule: ribosomal RNA, 478 nt
Filed under: uncultured bacterium
Lineage: Bacteria
Description: bacterial SSU rRNA
Rfam family: Bacterial small subunit ribosomal RNA
Source: RNAcentral